UCAGGAUGAACGCUGGCGGUCUGCUUAACACAUGCAAGUCGAACGGGCUCUUCGGAGCUAGUGGCGGACGGGUGAGUAACGCGUGAGAAUCUGCCCUUAGGACGGGGACAACAGCUGGAAACGGCUGCUAACACCCGAUGUGCCGAGAGGUGAAACAUUAAUGGCCUGAGGAUGAGCUCGCGUCUGAUUAGCUAGUUGGUGGGGUAACGGCUCACCAAGGCGACGAUCAGUAGCUGGUCUGAGAGGAUGAUCAGCCACACUGGGACUGAGACACGGCCCAGACUCCUACGGGAGGCAGCAGUGGGGAAUUUUCCGCAAUGGGCGAAAGCCUGACGGAGCAAGACCGCGUGAGGGAAGAAGGUCUGUGGAUUGUAAACCUCUUUUGACUGGGAAGAAGACAGUGACGGUACCAGUCGAAUCAGCCUCGGCUAACUCCGUGCCAGCAGCCGCGGUAAUACGGAGGAGGCAAGCGUUAUCCGGAAUUAUUGGGCGUAAAGCGUCCGUAGGUGGCUAUCCAAGUCUGCUGUCAAAGCAUGGAGCUUAACUCCAUAAAGGCAGUGGAAACUGGGUGGCUAGAGUGCGAUAGGGGCAAGGGGAAUUCCCAGUGUAGCGGUGAAAUGCGUAGAUAUUGGGAAGAACACCGGUGGCGAAAGCGCCUUGCUGGGUCUGCACUGACACUGAGGGACGAAAGCUAGGGGAGCGAAAGGGAUUAGAUACCCCUGUAGUCUUAGCUGUAAACGAUGGGUACUAGGCGUUGUCCGUAUCGACCCGGGCAGUGCCGUAGCUAACGCGUUAAGUACCCCGCCUGGGGAGUACGCUCGCAAGAGUGAAACUC
This 835-nucleotide ribosomal RNA is filed under the name uncultured bacterium. Its description in RNAcentral is "bacterial SSU rRNA". It matches the Rfam family "Bacterial small subunit ribosomal RNA", at positions 24 to 902 of the family's 1533-position model. The record is from RNAcentral.